AAGUCGUAACAAGGUUUCCGUAGGUGAACCUGCGGAAGGAUCAUUAGUGAAUAAAAACGCUUGGGUGUCCCUGCUUCGGCAAGCCCCUCGCACCCUUCACAUCCUUAACACACCCCCCUGUGCACCGUAAGAUUGACCUCUUUUGGGGGGCUGUCUGACCUUUUUUACAAACAAUUAUAUGUAACACAUGUAUAUUUUAUUAUAACCUAAUAAAACUUUCAACAACGGAUCUCCUGGCUCUGGCAUCGAUGAAGAACGCAGCGAAACGCGAUAGGUAAUGUGAAUUGCAGAAUUCAGUGAAUCAUCGAAUCUUUGAACGCACCUUGCGCUCGCUGGUAUUCCGGUGAGCAUGCCUGUUUGAGUGUCAUGAAAACUAUCAACCGAGACUUGGGGUUUUUUUCCCCCUUGUUCUUGGCUUGGGUUUGGGUGCUUUGCGGUGCUUUAGUGAGCUGCUCACCUUAAAAGGAUUAGCUGGACAUGUUGUGAGACUUUGGUUCUACUUGGNGUGAUAAGUAUUUCGCUGAGGACAUUCCUUCAUGGGGGGAUGGNCAGGACUCUAGACAAAAGUCUGCUUUCUAACCUCGUAGUCUUUCGGGACAUGACUUUUUAUGAUCUGGCCUCAAAUCAGGUAGGACUACCCGCUGAACUUAAGCAUAUCAAUAAGCGGAGGAAAAGAACUANCAAGGAUUCCCCUAGNAACGGCGAGUGAAGCGGNAAGAGCUCAAAUUUGAANUCUGACUCCNUCAGGGUGUGUCCGAGUNGUAAUCUAUANGGACGCUUUCUGUGCCNGCUCAUGUACAAGUCCCUUGGAACAGGGCAUCAUAGAGGGUGAGAAUCCCGUACUUGACAUGAACUUUACCGGUGCUCUGUGAUACGUCUCCCACGAGUCGAGUUGUUUGGGAAUGCAGCUCAAAAUGGGUGGUAAAUUCCAUCUAAAGCUAAAUAUUGGCCAGAGACCGAUAGCGAACAAGUACCGUGAGGGAAAGAUGAAAAGCACUUUGGAAAGAGAGUUAAAAAGUAUGUGAAAUUGUUGAAAGGGAAACGAUGGAAGUCAGUCAUGCUCUUCAGAUUCAGCUGGUUCUGCCAGUGUACUUCUGUUGAGUGGGGUCAACAUCAGUUUCGGUUGCUGGAUAAAGGCUGGAGGGAAUGUAGCACUCUUGGGUGAACUUAUAGCCUUCUGUCGCAUACAGUGACUGGGACUGAGGAACGCAGCUUGCCUUUCGGCCGGGGUUCGCCCACGUACAAGCUUAGGAUGUUGACAUAAUGGCUUUCAACGACC
Molecule: ribosomal RNA, 1279 nt
Filed under: uncultured fungus
Lineage: Eukaryota; Fungi
Description: eukaryotic LSU rRNA
Rfam family: Eukaryotic large subunit ribosomal RNA (bases 615-1279)
Source: RNAcentral